CUGCACAGCAGCUCCCAAGCCGCGGGGAGAGUGGGAGUGCACGGGCACCGAACUGUGCCUCUCAGGGGUGUUGCAGCGGAUUUUUUAAUAAAUGUUUUCCACUUCUUUAUUCUAGGUCCCGGAAGAACUGGCCCCUCACCCUCCAUCUCUGGCUUUGUCUGCUCCCUCUACUCCCCAGGCCUUGCUGUCAGCACCUGCAGCAGAGCUGUCCCUGCUGUGGUCCGGGGAAAGUUCCAGCUGGGCCCUCCGUUGCACAUCCAUCCCUGGGUUGGGCAUCCAGGGCAUCAAGUCUACAAAAAAUGCAUCCAUUUCACCUCCAAGUCAGCUCUGUGCACACCAAGCUGUGUACAGGACAGGCCACCUUAGAAAGCCUGGGUACCCACGCAGCCUUCCACAAGGCCCCACCUACAUGGCUGCUUUAGGUUCUCAUCAUCCUGUGCUCACCAGGAAGGCUGGCAGAUCCACACCGGGAACCAUGGGCUGGGGAGAAGCAGGGCCUUGGUGCUAGAGAGAUCUGCCCAAGCAUCCUUCUGCAAGCCCUGUGACAGAGGAGUGAGCAGCCUCAGGAGCGGGACAGGUGCUCAGGAGAGAGCCGGACGUGUGCAGAACCUGGAGAGAGCCAGAGGAGGGAUCGGCCACAGAGAAACCCAUCACCUGCCAGCACUGACGUGGACGUUGGGACAAGGUUUCUGCUGGUGGCCCAGCCCUCCAGAUUCCUCACUCCCACGCCUCGGCCCGAGAAUCCUUCUGGAAACACAAGGCUGCAGACUUCCUCCCUAGGGAGGGAACCAGGCCAGGAGCAACAUGGGGAGACCUGGGUCCCUGAGUGGCCAUGACCAUCGACCUAGAACAGUCAGCUCAGGACUGUUAUGUGGGAGCAGCAAUCGUCCAGCUCCUUCAAGCUGCUGUCUCCAAGGGUCUCGUCAUUCCAUUAUGGAUACAGCCUCGGGAAAUGGUGACGGCAAAGGGGCUCAUACAACAUGGCCCAUUUUUAUUAAUUUUUAUAAACGGGAAAUUGAAUA
Long non-coding RNA from Cercocebus atys (sooty mangabey), 1022 nucleotides. RefSeq lists it as uncharacterized. The record is from RefSeq and is a predicted model, not a curated record. The transcript has 3 exons. NCBI's taxonomy places the organism in Eukaryota, Metazoa, Chordata, Mammalia, Primates, Cercopithecidae.